CCCUUAGAUGUUCUGGGCUGCACGCGCGCUACACUGAUGCGCUCAACGAGUUUUAACCUUGCCUGGAAAGGUUGGGUAAUCUUUUUAAAACGCAUCGUGAUGGGGAUAGAUUAUUGCAAUUAUUAAUCUUCAACGAGGAAUUCCUAGUAGGCGCGAGUCAUCAUCUCGCGUCGACUGCGUCCCUGCCCUUUGUACACACCGCCCGUCGCUACUACCGAUCGAACGUUCUAGCGAGGUCGUCGGAUCGAUCGAACGCCGGCCUCCGGGUCGGCGCCGGCCGCGAAAGCGAUCGAACUCGAGCGUUUAGAGGAAGUAAAAGUCGUAACA
RNAcentral lists this ribosomal RNA (327 nucleotides) under uncultured eukaryote. RNAcentral describes it as "partial 18S ribosomal RNA". It matches the Rfam family "Eukaryotic small subunit ribosomal RNA", at positions 1470 to 1796 of the family's 1831-position model. The record is from RNAcentral.